RNAcentral lists this long non-coding RNA (141 nucleotides) under Cricetulus griseus (Chinese hamster). Its description in RNAcentral is "lncRNA (ENSCGRG00000024203.1)". The record is from RNAcentral. Lineage: Eukaryota; Metazoa; Chordata; Mammalia; Rodentia; Cricetidae.
CUGCCCUGUGGGGUACACAGGCUAUGAAGAGCAAACGAUGAGGAUUUGUGAGGGCGACAGUAAAUCUGGGGAUUUGAAGACACGUCUGGUGCUCCAACCGAACUGUUUACCUGGCCUGGACUUGGAGAUCAGAGUAAGUGG